Molecule: ribosomal RNA, 481 nt
Filed under: uncultured bacterium
Lineage: Bacteria
Description: partial 16S ribosomal RNA
Rfam family: Bacterial small subunit ribosomal RNA
Source: RNAcentral
GACGAACGUUGGCGGCGUGCUUAAUACAUGCAAGUCAACUGAAGCAGUGGUAGCAAUAUCGCUGUGGAGGUGGCGCACGGGUGAGUAACACGUAGGUAAUCUGCCUUCAGGUCUGGCAUAACUCCGGGAAACCGGGGCUAAUAGCAGAUGAUGCAGCGGCUCGACAUCGAGACAGUUGUUAAAGCUAUGGCGCCUGAAGAUGAGCCUGCGUCUGAUUAGCUAGUUGGCGGGGUAACGGCCCACCAAGGCAACGAUCAGUAGCUGGUCUGAGAGGAUGAUCAGGCACACUGGAACGGAGACACGGUCCAGACCCCUACGGGAGGCAGCAGUAAGGAAUAUUGCUCAAUGGGAGAAAUCCUGAAGCAGCAACGCCGCGUGAGGGACGAAGGGCUUUUGCUUGUAAACCUCUGUAGUGAGAGAAAAAAAUCCCAAUCUUUGGGACAUGAUGGUAUCUCAAAAGUAAGCCCCGGCUAACUACGUG